Molecule: ribosomal RNA, 402 nt
Filed under: uncultured Bdellovibrio sp.
Lineage: Bacteria; Pseudomonadati; Bdellovibrionota; Bdellovibrionia; Bdellovibrionales; Pseudobdellovibrionaceae
Description: bacterial SSU rRNA
Rfam family: Bacterial small subunit ribosomal RNA
Source: RNAcentral
UAGGGAAUAUUGCACAAUGGAGGAAACUCUGAUGCAGCGACGCCGCGUGAGUGAUGAAGGCCUUCGGGUUGUAAAGCUCUGUGAUAAGGGAAGAUGAUGACGGUACCUUAUCAGAAAGGACCGGCUAACUUCGUGCCAGCAGCCGCGGUAAUACGAGGGGUCCAAGCGUUGUUCGGAAUCACUGGGCGUAAAGCGGGUGUAGGUGGCUUUGUAAGUCACAUGUGAAAGCCCCGGGCUCAACCCGGGAAGUGCAUGUGAUACUGCAAAGCUUGAGUACGGGAGAGGAUGGCAGAAUUCCUGGUGUAGUGGUGAAAUACGUAGAUAUCAGGAGGAACUCCGGUGGCGAAGGCGGCUAUCUGGCCCAGUACUGACACUCAGACCCGAAAGCGUGGGUAGCAAACA